Molecule: ribosomal RNA, 434 nt
Filed under: uncultured soil bacterium
Lineage: Bacteria
Description: bacterial SSU rRNA
Rfam family: Bacterial small subunit ribosomal RNA
Source: RNAcentral
AGUCGAACGGGUCGACUUCGGUCGGCUAGUGGCGGACGGCUGAGUAACGCGUAGGUGACCUGCCCUUGAGUGGGGAAUAACGGUCCGAAAGGAUCGCUAAUACCGCAUACGACCGCCCUGUUUUGGCAGGGUGAGGAAAGCCGCAAGGCGCUCGAGGAGGGGCCUGCGUCCGAUUAGCUUGUUGGUGGGGUAACGGCCUACCAAGGCGACGAUCGGUAGCUGGUCUAAGAGGAUGAUCAGCCAGACUGGGACUGUGACACGGCCCAGACUCCUACGGGAGGCAGCAGUUAGGAAUCUUGGGCAAUGGGCGAAAGCCUGACCCAGCAACGCCGCGUGGGUGACGAAGGCCUUCGGGUCGUAAAGCCCUUUUGUACGGGAAGAUAAUGACGGUACCGUGCGAAUAAGCCCCGGCUAACUACGUGCCAGCAGCCGCG